GCCUGGGCUCCCUGAAAUCAUUCCUUUGAUAGGCACCUCUGCUCUCAGGGCCAGUAGCCUGAGUCUUCACAGCCUGCAGGACUCACCUGCUCUCACCCUGGCAGGCGACUGCAUGCACAGAUGACCAUGACAUUCUUUGUUUUAUCCUUAACGAGAGAGAGCCCAGGCUUCAGAGAGCUCUGAAAUGUCACCCAAAGAGGAAAGGGGGGAAAUCCAGGUAUGAUAAAGGGGAGGGAGGUGCAGCAGCCAGGCACACAUUUUACAAAAGUUUGUUGCUCAUCUCCUGAAGGUCACUACCAGUCACAAGGAGCAGACAUCACCAGGAAGGAUUUCAGUGUUUUUCUAGGUAUGAGGAGAUGUGGGAAUUGGGCACAUAAAGUGUCCUCCUAAAAAUAUCUGACUAUCUGAAGACCUGUUCUUCCAGUUUUCCCAGAGCACAGAGACCCUCACUCCUGAUGUUCACCCUGAGCUCUGAUCAGGGGAUGCUGUGGGUCGGCAGCUGCAGUGGCUCAUGAUUUAAUCCAUGUAGAGGCUGAUGGCAAGUGCCCAACUUCAGUUCAUAGAGGAACUGGCACUUGCUGUCCUGCCAUAAACAGCUAGAAAACUGUUUUGAGACACUGGAGGAUAAGCAAUAUAGAGCUGAUAGCUUAGUGGAAAGAGAAACAAAGAAAGCCAGCCAUUACUCUGGCUUUCUGCCUGGAGGCAUUUUCAGGACAGCAUUCAGGCAGGAGACACUUGAGAAGAUCAUGGUCUCACUGAGUUGAGGAAACAGAUCAGAGCCUAUAUGGGUUGAGGUGACUUGAAUUUGCAGUGUGAAGUACCAGAGGGGAGAGGGGUUUGUAGAAAAAGAGUUCCAGGUAUAUGCAUGAGGUCAUCUUUGCACUGUGGAAUUCUAAGUAGGUCACGCAAAAGAGUAAAAUUCUGUGUGGCUGAGAAAAAGAACAGCAUGGGAUUUGUAUGCUAUCACACAGAGCUGGGAGGUGUUCAGCUUUCAACCAGUCAGAGUUGAGUAAACAACUGGAAUGUUCAGUAGAGUUCCCUGAAAGGUCACAGUUUAGUAGAGGAGGGAAACUACCCCUGAAGUAAAAGCAGUGCCAGAUUUGCCCUAAUACAGCUUUAAAACCUCCAAAAAAAAAAAAAAAAA
Molecule: long non-coding RNA, 1144 nt
Filed under: Sus scrofa (pig)
Lineage: Eukaryota; Metazoa; Chordata; Mammalia; Artiodactyla; Suidae
Description: lncRNA (ENSSSCG00055019408.1)
Source: RNAcentral